Molecule: long non-coding RNA, 666 nt
Organism: Cynoglossus semilaevis (tongue sole)
Lineage: Eukaryota; Metazoa; Chordata; Actinopteri; Pleuronectiformes; Cynoglossidae
Exons: 2
Source: RefSeq, a predicted model, not a curated record
ACUAACAGCCAUUCCUGGGUAAACACUCAGAUAUCUUUCUGCCCUUUUCUCAGCUGUUGAAGUUUCUCUACGUUCCAGCCAAACUUUUAUUGUAUUUUUGCCUUUGGUGAUUCUAUGCUAAGAGUUAGUGUUUUCUGGCCUUAAGUUUAGUUUUAUUUAUAACUAUUUGAAUGACAUUUAGGGUAUUACAAAAGACGCGAUGUGUCGUGGGGUAUUUUUACAUCCUGAAAUUCUGCCCCCCGGGGUGUAACCAGCAGAAGACUGUCUUGUAUUUGCAGCCAAACCGUAAAAAUAGUGCGACGUUUGUUUCUGUAAUUCUAUUUCCUGGCACUAACAUGUGUGCAGUAUCAUUAUUCAGACAGCUCUCACUGGACAGCAGUGAUUAUCACCCAGUGAUAAUUACAGGGGCUGUAACGCGUAUGUGGGAAGAUCGUGGAGAAGCACCAGAAUUUCAGAAGAAAAACUCCAACUGUUGGCCAGACGAAAGACAAACGUGGUGGAAAUCCUCUGCUCAUGUCCUCAUUUUGACCAGCAUCACAGGAGGGAUACAUACCUAAGUGCAGCUGCCAGAGCACAUUAUGACAACAACUGCUGCUCACAUGUAAAUCCCACAACGUCACACAUUUAAAUCUGAUAUAAUAACUCAUGCAUGCAAAUCAUCAAGUA